RNAcentral lists this ribosomal RNA (292 nucleotides) under uncultured bacterium. Its description in RNAcentral is "partial 16S ribosomal RNA". It matches the Rfam family "Bacterial small subunit ribosomal RNA", at positions 505 to 796 of the family's 1533-position model. The record is from RNAcentral.
GUGUCAGCCGCCGCGGUAAGACGAACCGUGCGAACGUUGUUCGGAAUCACUGGGCUUAAAGGGCGCGUAGGCGGGUUCUCAAGUCUGGAGUGAAAGCCCACGGCUCAACCGUGGAAGCGCUUCGGAUACUGGGGGCCUCGAGGGAGGUAGGGGCGUGCGGAACUUCCGGUGGAGCGGUGAAAUGCGUAGAUAUCGGAAGGAACACCGGUGGCGAAAGCGGCGCGCUGGACCUCUUCUGACGCUGAGGCGCGAAAGCCAGGGGAGCAAACGGGAUUAGAAACCCCUGUAGUCC